This 433-nucleotide ribosomal RNA is filed under the name uncultured bacterium. RNAcentral describes it as "partial 16S ribosomal RNA". It matches the Rfam family "Bacterial small subunit ribosomal RNA", at positions 29 to 507 of the family's 1533-position model. The record is from RNAcentral.
AACGAACGCUGGCGGCAUGCCUAACACAUGCAAGUCGAACGAUGCCUUCGGGCAUAGUGGCGCACGGGUGCGUAACGCGUGGGAAUCUGCCUUUCGGUUCGGAAUAACUCAGGGAAACUUGAGCUAAUACCAGAUAACGUCGCAAGACCAAAGAUUUAUCACCGAAAGAUGAGCCCGCGUAGGAUUAGCUAGUUGGUGAGGUAAAGGCUCACCAAGGCGACGAUCCUUAGCUAGUCUGAGAGGAUGAUCAGCCACACUGGGACUGAGACACGGCCCAGACUCCUACGGGAGGCAGCAGUGGGGAAUAUUGGACAAUGGGCGAAAGCCUGAUCCAGCAAUGCCGCGUGAGUGAUGAAGGCCUUAGGGUUGUAAAGCUCUUUUACCCGGGAAGAUAAUGACGGUACCGGGAGAAUAAGCCCCGGCUAACUCCGUG